UGGGACGGAGAAGAGUGGGAAUAAAAACAGCUUUAAAUUAAAUGAAAUCUUUUAGGCUGCUGCUUAAAUUAUGAAAUUUUUGAAUAAUAAAACAUUAAAACAAAAGACAAACAAAUUAGACGAUAAGCACAACUGAUGACAAAUAGAAUAAACUGAAAAAGGCUGUAAGAGAGGUAAAUGGAUGUGUUGUAUGCAUUCAGGCAGGAUCCGGUGAAAAAGCAGGUUUUCCCAUUCAUUCAAGUUGAGCUAGUUUGUUUUGGAUGCAGGGGUGUCCACCAAAAAACACAGCAAUCUGCAGCGAAGAAGUUGAGCCAGAUCCAUCUAUUGGAAAAUAGAGCCUGACUUCCUGACAUCACGCUGCAGCCACCAAUCAGAUGAUCAGAUUGGUUAAACCUCCACAAUCAGCAUGAAAUGUCUCUUAAACUGAGGCUAUCCAGCUGGAUUCAUGGACUAAAGUCUGAUACUCCGAUACCUGUUGCGUACUGGCUUUGUUACUUUCAUGUAGUAGCUUCUAAAUCUGUCCAGCUCCAAAUUUAUGCUGCAAAAUAGUUUCCUUUUCUUCAUGUCCGAUGGUUUAAGAGAGAAACCGAGAGGGGGAGAAAGCGAGCAUUGGUCAAGAGACAUAGACAAGAGUGAGGGAGUGCCGACAUUGAUGAAAGCAGUUAAUCAGCUGAAUAAAAAGUUAUUUUCUGAUUGUUUCACAGCGGCUACGUCCAGCACAAAAAGACUGCCAACCCUCUCCCAGACACACCGCCGCAACCCUGCAGUGAUUCGCCAAAGGGCCUGAUCCUGACUAAAUGCAACCUAAGAAAAGAUGUCAGGGAGAGUGUCUAACUCAAUAUCUCAAACUACUUGCACCAAGAUGUGCUCAAAUUAAGGUUUUGUAGGGAGUUCUUGUUUAAUAGUUAACAGAAUUUUUGUCUCAGAGGUUUUCAAACUGGGAGGUGGGAGGCUCAGAGAGAGAAUCCACUUAGAAAAAGAUGUUUCUCAUAAGUCCAAAACCUGCCUGUGUUUAUCUGCUUUAGCACAUCUGAGAGUACAUUGCAAAUAAGAACUGCUAAAAGCUAAACUUUUAAUUAUGUGUAAACAAAUAUAGAAAAAAAA
This is a long non-coding RNA of Larimichthys crocea (large yellow croaker), 1104 nucleotides long. RefSeq lists it as uncharacterized. Lineage: Eukaryota; Metazoa; Chordata; Actinopteri; Sciaenidae. The transcript has 2 exons. The record is from RefSeq and is a predicted model, not a curated record.